RNAcentral lists this small RNA (109 nucleotides) under uncultured Agathobaculum sp. RNAcentral describes it as "drum RNA". It matches the Rfam family "drum RNA". Rfam says of the family: Firmicutes, Bacteroidetes (1 example), Proteobacteria (2 examples), Spirochaetes (2 examples). Terminator (Clostridia) The record is from RNAcentral. Lineage: Bacteria; Bacillati; Bacillota; Clostridia; Eubacteriales; Butyricicoccaceae.
AGCGUUGAAGCAUAGUUGCGUACCGGAAAGCCUUGCUAUGCAGAGUUUUUAGGAGGGGUUGUGCAGUAACCUCGAACCGGUGUAGGCCGAAGGUCAAAAGAAAAUGCAC